UACGAAGGGGGCUAGCGUUGCUCGGAAUCACUGGGCGUAAAGGGUGCGUAGGCGGGUCUUUAAGUCAGGGGUGAAAUCCUGGAGCUCAACUCCAGAACUGCCUUUGAUACUGAAGAUCUUGAGUUCGGGAGAGGUGAGUGGAACUGCGAGUGUAGAGGUGAAAUUCGUAGAUAUUCGCAAGAACACCAGUGGCGAAGGCGGCUCACUGGCACGAUACUGACGCUGAGGCGCGAAAGCGUGGGGAGCAAACAGG
Molecule: ribosomal RNA, 253 nt
Filed under: uncultured bacterium
Lineage: Bacteria
Description: partial 16S ribosomal RNA
Rfam family: Bacterial small subunit ribosomal RNA
Source: RNAcentral